CAGUCGCCGCGGGAAUAUGUAGGUGGCAAGCGUUGUCCGGAAUUAUUGGGCGUAAAGGGCUCGCAGGCGGUUUCUUAAGUCUGAUGUGAAAGCCCCCGGCUCAACCGGGGAGGGUCAUUGGAAACUGGGAAACUUGAGUGCAGAAGAGGAGAGUGGAAUUCCACGUGUAGCGGUGAAAUGCGUAGAGAUGUGGAGGAACACCAGUGGCGAAGGCGACUCUCUGGUCUGUAACUGACGCUUAGGAGCGAAAGCGUGGGGAGCGAACAGGAUUAGAGACCCCUGUAGUCCCUGUCUCUUAUAC
RNAcentral lists this ribosomal RNA (301 nucleotides) under uncultured bacterium. RNAcentral's name for it is "partial 16S ribosomal RNA". It matches the Rfam family "Bacterial small subunit ribosomal RNA", at positions 509 to 807 of the family's 1533-position model. The record is from RNAcentral.